UGCGAGAAGGGGCAACUACUUCAUCAAGAUGCACAUCUUCUUAAUUAGGACUAGAGAAGGAAAAUUGGAUCUUACAAUGAAAACCAGGCUAGUGAAAAAAUGACUAAAGUUCAAAAAACACUUGAAGUGAAGUUCGCAAUUGUGUCGCUCAUCCUUGUACGUGAGUGCCAUCUGAUGGUCCAACUAGAGAUACAGGAUCAGGUUCAUGCCACACGACACAUUGGUGUGGUAAGUGCGUGCUCCAAGUACCUCUUCCUGAUGCCUCUCAUUCCCAAG
RNAcentral lists this long non-coding RNA (276 nucleotides) under Hordeum vulgare. RNAcentral's name for it is "long non-coding RNA (HVUL_LNC013947)". The record is from RNAcentral. Lineage: Eukaryota; Viridiplantae; Streptophyta; Magnoliopsida; Poales; Poaceae.